AGCAGCCGCGGUAAUUCCAGCUCCAAUAGCGUAUAUUAAAGUUGUUGCAGUUAAAAAGCUCGUAGUUGAACUUCGGGGUCUACCCAUUGGUCAGGCUUAAUUGUCUGCACUGGUGAGAUGGAUCUCUACCUUCUGAGGAACUUUCAUGCCAUUUAUUUGGUGUGAUGGGAAAUCAGGACUGUUACUUUGAAAAAAUUAGAGUGUUUAAAGCAGACUAUCGUCUGAAUACAUUAGCAUGGAAUAAUGAAAUAGGACGGACUGAUUCUAUUUCGUUGGUUUCUAGGAUCACCGUAAUGAUUAAUAGGGAUAGUUGGGGGCAUUAGUAUUCAAUUGUCAGAGGUGAAAUUCUUGGAUUUAUGAAGACUUAACUACUGCGAAAGCAUUUGCCAAGGAUGUUUUCAUUAAUCAAGAACGAAGUUAGGGGAUCGAAGACGAUCAGAUACCGUGUAGUCUUAACCAUAAACUAUGCCGACUA
Molecule: ribosomal RNA, 475 nt
Filed under: uncultured Diversispora
Lineage: Eukaryota; Fungi; Glomeromycota; Glomeromycetes; Diversisporales; Diversisporaceae
Description: SSU rRNA
Rfam family: Eukaryotic small subunit ribosomal RNA
Source: RNAcentral